GCCGAGGUGGUGAAAUUGGUAGACACGCUAGCUUCAGGUGCUAGUGGGCGUUUAGCCCGUGGAGGUUCAAGUCCUCUCCUCGGCACCA
Molecule: transfer RNA, 88 nt
Filed under: gamma proteobacterium symbiont of Ctena orbiculata
Lineage: Bacteria; Pseudomonadati; Pseudomonadota; Gammaproteobacteria
Also listed under: 6 other names
Description: tRNA-Leu
Rfam family: tRNA
About the family: Transfer RNA (tRNA) molecules are approximately 80 nucleotides in length. Their secondary structure includes four short double-helical elements and three loops (D, anti-codon, and T loops).
Source: RNAcentral